Molecule: ribosomal RNA, 253 nt
Filed under: uncultured bacterium
Lineage: Bacteria
Description: partial 16S ribosomal RNA
Rfam family: Bacterial small subunit ribosomal RNA
Source: RNAcentral
UACGGGGGGGGCAAGCGUUGUUCGGAAUUACUGGGCGUAAAGGGCUCGUAGGUGGCCAACUAAGUCAGACGUGAAAUCCCUCGGCUUAACCGGGGAACUGCGUCUGAUACUGGAUGGCUUGAGUUCGGGAGAGGGAUGCGGAAUUCCAGGUGUAGCGGUGAAAUGCGCAGAUAUCAGGAGGAACACCAAUGGCGAAGGCAGCUCGCUGGGACGUGACUGACGCUGAGACGCGAAAGCGUGGGGAGCAAACAGG